CCUACGGGCGGCAGCAGUGAGGAAUAUUGGUCAAUGGACGAGAGUCUGAACCAGCCAAGUAGCGUGAAGGAGGACUGUCCAGUGUGUUGUAAACUUCUUUUAUCAGGGAAUAAAACGAGGCACGUGUGCCCGUUUGCAUGUACUUGAUGAAUAAGCAUCGGCUAACUCCGUGCCAGCAGCCGCGGUAAUACGGAGGAUCCGAGCGUUAUCCGGAUUUAUUGGGUUUAAAGGGUGCGCAGAUGGGUUGUUAAGUCAGGGGUGAAAGUUCGGGGCUCAACCGUAACCUUGCAGUUGAAACUGGCAGUCUUGAGUUCGAGUGAGGUAGGCGGAAUGCGUGGUGUAGCGGUGAAAUGCAUAGAUAUCGCGAAGAACCCCGAUUGCGAAGGCAGCAUGCUGA
This 397-nucleotide ribosomal RNA is filed under the name uncultured bacterium. Its description in RNAcentral is "partial 16S ribosomal RNA". It matches the Rfam family "Bacterial small subunit ribosomal RNA", at positions 338 to 732 of the family's 1533-position model. The record is from RNAcentral.